RNAcentral lists this ribosomal RNA (760 nucleotides) under uncultured Acinetobacter sp. RNAcentral's name for it is "bacterial SSU rRNA". It matches the Rfam family "Bacterial small subunit ribosomal RNA", at positions 62 to 813 of the family's 1533-position model. Lineage: Bacteria; Pseudomonadati; Pseudomonadota; Gammaproteobacteria; Moraxellales; Moraxellaceae. The record is from RNAcentral.
UCAAACGCGGRRRKKURGCUUGGUACAUUACCUAGCGGCGGACGGGUGAGUAAUGCUUAGGAAUCUGCCUAUAGUGGGGGACAACAUUCCGAAAGGAAUGCUAAUACCGCAUACGCCCUACGGGGGAAAGCAGGGGAUCUUCGGACCUUGCGCUAAUAGAUGAGCCUAAGUCAGAUUAGCUAGUUGGUGGGGUAAAGGCCUACCAAGGCGACGAUCUGUAGCGGGUCUGAGAGGAUGAAUCCGCCACACUGGGACUGAGACACGGCCCAGACUCCUACGGGAGGCAGCAGUGGGGAAUAUUGGACAAUGGGGGCAAGCCUGAUCCAGCCAUGCCGCGUGUUGAACAAGGCCUCUUGGUUGUAAAGCACUUUAAGCGAGGAGGAGGCUACCUUGGAUUAAUACUYCUAGGAUAGUGGACGUUACUCGCAGAAUAAGCACCGGCUAACUCUGUGCCAGCAGCCGCGCCUAAUACAGAGGGUGCGAGCGUUAAUCGGAUUUACUGGGCGUAAAGCGUGCGUAGGCGGCUUUUUAAGUCGGAUGUGAAAUCCCUGAGCUUAACUUAGGAAUUGCAUUCGAUACUGGGAAGCUAGAGUAUGGGAGAGGAUGGUAGAAUUCCAGGUGUAGCGGUGAAAUGCGUAGAGAUCUGGAUGAAUACCGAUGGCAAACGCAGCCACCUGGCCUAAUACUGCACUCUGAGGUACGAAAGCAUGGGGAGCAAACAGGAUUAGAUACCCUGGUAGUCCAUGCCGUAUACGAUGUC